Molecule: ribosomal RNA, 558 nt
Filed under: uncultured archaeon
Lineage: Archaea
Description: bacterial SSU rRNA
Rfam family: Archaeal small subunit ribosomal RNA
Source: RNAcentral
CGGGGUGCACCAGGCGCGAAACCUUUGCCAUGCGCGAAAGCGUGACAGGGGAAUUCCGAGUGGUAGGGGGGUUUACCUCCCUAUCUUUUGGCCAAUCCAAACAAUUGGCAGAAUAAGAUCUGGGUAAGACCAGUGCCAGCCGCCGCGGUAAUACUGGCAGAGCAAGUGGUAUCCACGAAUAUUGGGUCUAAAGAGUCCGUAGCGGGCCUGUUAAGUCCACUGUGAAAUCUGGCGGCUCAACCGUCAGGUGUGCAGUGGAUACUGGCAGGCUUGGGAGUGGGGGAGGUCGGGAGUACUCACGGGGUAACGGUAAAAUGUUGUAAUCCUGUGAGGACUACCAGUGGCGAAGGCGCCCGACCAAAACACGUCCGACCGUGAGGGACGAAGGCUAGGAGAACGAAUCGGAUUAGAUACCCGAGUAGCCCUAGCAGUAAAUUAUGCAGACUGUGGUGUUGCGUCGACUUCGAGUCGGCGCAGUGCUGUAGCGUAGGUGUUAAGUCUGCCACCUGGGGAGUACGGCCGCAAGGUUGAAACUUAAAGGAAUUGGCGGGGGAGCAC